UUGAAUGGCCGCAGUAAUUUGACUGUGCGAAGGUAGCAUAAUCAUUAGUUUUUUAAUUAAAAGCUUGUAUGAAUGGUUGGACGAGAUAAAAUCUGUCUUUGAGUAAAUUUUAGAAUUUAAUUUUUAAGUUAAAAAGCUUAAAUUUUUAUAAAAGACGAGAAGACCCUAUAGAUCUUUAUAGUAUUAUAUUUAUUUUUAAUUAAGAUUAUUUUAUUAUUUAAAUUUAAUAUUAUUUUAUUGGGGUAAUAUGAAGAUUAAUUUAAUUCUUUAUUAUAUUUUUUCAAUAAUUUUUGUUUAUUUGAUCCUUAAUUUAAGAUUAAAAGAUUAAGUUACCUUAGGGAUAACAGCGUAAUUUUUUUAAAGAGUUCAUAUCGAUAAAAAAGUUUGCGACCUCGAUGUUGGAUUAAAAAUAAUUCUAGGUGUAGAAGUUUAGAUUAUUGGUCUGUUCGACCAUUAUAUUUUUACAUGAUCUGAGUUCAGACCGGUGUAAGCCAGGUCGGUUUCUAUCUUUAUUUAAUUAAUAUAUUUUAGUACGAAAGGACCAAAUAUUUAUUAUAUUUAUAUUUAUUUUUUGAAUAAUAUUAUUACUUUGGCAGAUUAGUGUAAUGAAUUUAGAAUUCAAGAAUGUAAUUAUUUUACAAGUAAUAUUGUUUAAAUUUGAUUUUAUUAUUUUUUUUGUUUGUUUUUUAUU
Molecule: ribosomal RNA, 691 nt
Filed under: Necterosoma aphrodite
Lineage: Eukaryota; Metazoa; Arthropoda; Insecta; Coleoptera; Dytiscidae
Description: partial 16S ribosomal RNA
Rfam family: Bacterial large subunit ribosomal RNA (bases 1-545)
Source: RNAcentral